UGAAUAUUUUCAUGCACCUUCAGAAGAUGUUGUGUGCAGUGGGAAUGGGAUUUGUAUUCAAACGAUUUGAAUACUUUUCCAAACGUUCAGAGAUUCAAUUUAGCAAGGAGCGUGCGUAGAUUCAAUUUAGCAGUGCGCUAACGGCACUCAAAGGAGCGUGUCCAGAUUCAAUUCGGAACGUGCCCUAACGGCACUCAAUUAUAGUGCAAUGGCCAUUAAAAAAAAUAGUGACCGUUGAAAAAAACAGGAAUUCACUUCUUAUAAAUGAAUAGUUUAAUUGAGAAGCAGGACAAAUUUCUUGUUCUGUUUUCUUUUUGGUUUGAUUCGUCUCCCAUUGUAUGUUUUUGGCAUGGCCAUGCCUGUUUUUGAUUUAUGUUUUCCUGAAUUUUGGUUUUGAAUUUUUCUUUCCUGAAUUUUGGUAUUUCGUGUAUCUUCUUUUUUCUGUGGGUCGUCAAUUUUUAGUAGGCAUGUAGUGUUCAGCAGCAAGAACACUACAUUCUGGAGUGGCUGAUUGGAGAUGUAGCCAGAAAAUAGGCAAAGUCAGAGGUGAUCGACUCUGCUUGACCAUUUUAACAGUAUCUUGGUCACCAACAGUAUCUUGGUCACCAGGUUGUGGAGUGUCUACAAAUGUUUGGAGGCUUGAAUGGGUAGCUGCUGAAGUCAAAUAAUGAAUGUAAUAUUUAAAAUUUCAGAAAAAAAUGUUAAUAGAAAUCUUGAAUGGAGGUUGUAAACAAAUUUAUUGUUUAAUGUCAAAUUUUUAUUUGGAAGGGGGUUGAAUUGGCCCACUUCCCAAGGCUGUGGAGAAUGGUCAUUUUCCAUGGCCAUUCUUUUCAGUUUAGUGUCUAUUGGUUAAUUUUUUAUAUUUAUUUUUUACUGCAUGAAUGGGUUGCCGAAUCAACUACUGAAAUCAGUAUUUGUAAAUUGAUAUGUAAACAGUUUUGUUGUUUAAUGCCAAAUUUUUAUUUGGAAGGGGUUGGAUUGGCCCCCUUCCCAAGGUUGUGAAGAAUGGUCAUUGGCCAUGGCCAUUCUUUUUCAGUUUAGUGUCUGUCUAUUGGUUAAAUUUUUAUAUUUAUUUUUUACUGCAUGAAUAGGUUGCUGAAUCAACUACUGAAAUUAGUAUUUGUAAAUUGAUAUGUAAACAGAUUUGUUGUUUAAUGCCAAAUUUUUAUUUGGAAGGGAUUGAAUUGGCCCCCUUCCCAAGGCUGUGGAGAAUGGCCAUGGCCAUUCUUUUGGUUAAUUUUUAUAUUAUUUUUUACUGCAUAAAACUCAAUAUUUUAAAAAAUGGUUAUUUCAUCAUAUUUAAUGAUAUGACUUUUUCAGUGUAGCUUAAUUUUUUAGGUA
Molecule: long non-coding RNA, 1341 nt
Organism: Cryptomeria japonica (Japanese cedar)
Lineage: Eukaryota; Viridiplantae; Streptophyta; Pinopsida; Cupressales; Cupressaceae
Exons: 3
Source: RefSeq, a predicted model, not a curated record